GAUAUCGGUUCGUCAUCAGCAUCUCAGCAAGUGACUCCGUAUCCACGUUAUGUUCAGUUAGUUCUUUUUCUUCAUCUUAUUUCCAUUCCUCCUCUCGAAUCACUGAUGCUCGUGAUGCUGAGUUAACUCCAACCGGCUUGUACAGUUCUUAGGAAAAAUGUCUUCAUGGGCUGGCUCUUCUCGUUGGUUAACAUACGUAAUAUGUAUUCUAUAGUUAUACACUGAAGAUCACUUGAUCACUUAAGAAGGAACGCAUUAAUGUUCACAUUUGCCAGCCUCUGUCGGCCUUUCCCUUACAGAGAAAAACUAUACCCAUAACUGCGCCACCAUCAUCAUACUAUAUAUAUUUGUGUUGUUGUUGGCGGAAAAAAUUCUGUUUGUUAUUAUGUGCUGUUUCCGUUUAAACCGGUUCGUUCUCUCUCACCAAGCACCAAUUCCACUCUCCUCCGCAUCUUGGACAACGCGACGUUCCUCUUCAACGUGCGCGAGACAUUCUAAGUAUCAACGGACCCGUACAAAGAUAUGAUUUUUUUUUCUAACCGUACCGCUGGUUUUGCGUCAUACAUACAAUAAGAAAUACAAGAACAACAACAACAACAAACGAAACGAUCACAGGUUGGAAUCUCGAUCCAGGAACUGAAAGAUGAGGAGAGGCGAAGAUCACCUGAAGAUCGCGGCAACACAAAUAAUAGCCUCAGACUGGAACGCAAGAAAAAAUAAGCCAACAAUGAAGAUCAUAUACAGAGGUUCCUACCUGGAGGUGAUUUGAACAGAUGAUAGUUAUAAGGGGAUAUUUUGUAUGGGUGAACAAAUAUUCAGUAUCCUAUUUUUGAAAUGGUGAGACUUUUCUUCUUUUUUGUGGGAAAAAACAUAAAACAUAUCUCCCAGGAGCAAAAGAUAUUCUCAAAAAAGACAUUACUCCAGAUAUCCAAUUUGUAAUUUUUUAACACCUAACCAUAUUA
This is a long non-coding RNA of Hermetia illucens (black soldier fly), 962 nucleotides long. RefSeq lists it as uncharacterized. The record is from RefSeq and is a predicted model, not a curated record. The transcript is spliced from 2 exons. NCBI's taxonomy places the organism in Eukaryota, Metazoa, Arthropoda, Insecta, Diptera, Stratiomyidae.